This 162-nucleotide ribosomal RNA is filed under the name Ligusticum jeholense. Its description in RNAcentral is "5.8S ribosomal RNA". It matches the Rfam family "5.8S ribosomal RNA". Rfam says of the family: 5.8S ribosomal RNA (5.8S rRNA) is a component of the large subunit of the eukaryotic ribosome. It is transcribed by RNA polymerase I as part of the 45S precursor that also contains 18S and 28S rRNA. Lineage: Eukaryota; Viridiplantae; Streptophyta; Magnoliopsida; Apiales; Apiaceae. The record is from RNAcentral.
AACGACUCUCGACAACGGGUAUCUCGGCUCUCGCAUCGAUGAAGAACGUAGCGAAAUGCGAUACUUGGUGUGAAUUGCAGAAUCCCGUGAACCAUCGAGUCUUUGAACGCAAGUUGCGCCCGAAGCCAUUAGGCUGAGGGCACGUCUGCCUGGGUGUCACGC